CAAAAAAAUGAUUCUUGCCAGUAAUUGAAAUUAAGCGAUCUAUAUAAAUAAAGUUUAUUUAAAAAAGCAUAAAAUAAUUAUUAUCAAUCCGAAUUACGCUUUCUCAACAUGAACGUAAUGGAUCCGAAACCAACCUGAUCAAAUUACAUAAACUAUGCCUAAUUCGCUGCAGUAAAGCGAGAAUGCAGAUGUUGCGCAUGCGCAUUAGAAAAAAAAACUAGGCGGGAAGUCGACUAGGGCGCGACGACCAUCAUAUAUGGCGACGACGGUGAGCGGUGGGACGAUUAAUGAAGAACGGAUGAGGAGAUUAUACAAGAGACUUCGUUGUGACAUAAUUCCACAUUGAAUCUCAUUAAAGUCAAUCAAUCACUCACUUAAUAUAUGUGAGUCUUGGGAAUGUGGCAAUGUAAAGUGUGUGGAACAGAAGUUUGUAGUAGGAGGAAGACGAAUGGUGACCCUGAAGAGGCACAUCUUCAUUUAAGAAAAGGAGAGAAAAAUGUCGAGUCCGAUCAUUCUGAGGAUUGUUUUUGGUGGGGAUGACGAUGCAAGAAAGCUUACACUUAAGACAGGAAUCCCAAAGUCUGUGGAUGACCUUGUACUUGAAAUAAUGACUGUUUUUGGGGUGAAGCAAAAGUUCAGGCUCCAGUACAAAGAUAAGGACUUUGGAAAUGGUUACAUGAAUCUCAUGUCAACCAGUCAAAUUGAAGACAGGGAUACCCUGAAACUGAUUUUUCUAUCAACUGAUGACUAUAACUCCUGCUUGCAAGAGACUUCACCUGAUGCACCUUGCUGUUCCAGCAUUCUUGUUCCUUCACCCAGAUCAAUUUGUAGCUCUGACACUCUCGACACAAGAGAUGUUAGCCCUUGUGUGCCAUUGACUCAGUCCAGGAAGUCAACUUGUCUGAUGACUCAUUUUCCAGCAGCGCUGAGACUGUCUUAAUUACGUCUCCAGAGUCGAGAACCAGUUCUUGGCCUCAGGUUUUUAUAGUUCCUCGUUUUUCAUGUUCUGCUGAAAUUCAGCUUCAGAGAGCUGACACAGAGUUCAAUAAAAGUGGAAUGCUACUUAUUCCACCACCAUAACUAAGAUCUGACAUUCUUGAAGGCAUGGCUGAGGAGAUCUUUAGGUAUGCAGCAUACCCCUCUGAUAGUCAGCUUGAUCAGGCAGCUGAAGCCUUGAUAAAUGCUCACCCUUGCUUGAGGGAAAAAGGAACUCGCACUGGCCAUGAAGGAUGGAAACACUACCUAAAGAUUAAGAUGGCAAAUUUUCGCUCCAAACUCAGCAAGAUUGGGCACCCCGAAAUUACUGUGAACUCUCUUAGGAACAAGCGUAAAGGUCAGGGUAAAGCAGCAUCAAACAUCAAAAAGCCAAAAAAAGCUGAGGUGAAUUUCCUUCCUUGCCUUCCGAAAGGAGAAACAGCAGAAAGCAUGGAGAAGGAAAGAAUUGCUCUCUUAACUGAAGUGAAAAAGAAAAAUAACGAGGCAGUCAUUAAGGAAAAAAUGCAGUUGACCUUCUCCUAUAGGCGGCAAGAGUUGGUUGAGGAUUUACCAAUGGUUUCUGAUUUACAAAGCAGGUGGCCUGCUUUGUUCACAGUAAAUGAAAUAAAUGCAGAAUUCAUGCGGAUAACGACUGUGCCCCUUAUGUCAAAGUUCUUAGCACAGCUGGACAAAUACACUGCUAAUCUACACAAGGUUUUCAGCAGCAAAGGAGGUGCUUCUGGACAGAAGAUUUCGCGCAUUAUGUCAGUUGCA
This is a long non-coding RNA of Carassius carassius (crucian carp), 1749 nucleotides long. RefSeq lists it as uncharacterized. The record is from RefSeq and is a predicted model, not a curated record. The transcript has 6 exons. Lineage: Eukaryota; Metazoa; Chordata; Actinopteri; Cypriniformes; Cyprinidae.